AUGCGCCGCGCCGUCUUCUUUGGCGCGGGAACGCCACCGUCCGCGUCGGUCUUCGUCACGCUGUCAAGGUUCUUCGCCUACUUCGAGCACCGCCGCCGCCGCUCUUCUUUGGCCGCCGCCGCCGCUACCUUCGUAGCCGCCGCCGCCCGUCCACCCCCUUCGUCUUCGUCCAGCACCAGCCCGUCGCCAGCGUCGCCGUCAUCUACCCCGACCACUUCGUCUACUCCGACCACCGUUGGUGACAUCAGCCCCGCGCCGAUGGACGCCGCAAUCGUCGUCGAGUUCUUCUCUGCUGGCCUCUCCGACUUCUUCGACAUGGCGUACAACUCGUGCAGGUCCCAGUCUCCACGUGCCCGGUGCUGGAAACACCGCAGCGUGCCUUCGUCCACGACGUGUCCCUAG
This 402-nucleotide ribosomal RNA is filed under the name Triticum aestivum (bread wheat). RNAcentral's name for it is "partial small subunit ribosomal RNA". The record is from RNAcentral. Lineage: Eukaryota; Viridiplantae; Streptophyta; Magnoliopsida; Poales; Poaceae.